GAUAAACGCUGGCGGCGUGCCUAAUACAUGCAAGUCGAGCGAACAGACGAGGAGCUUGCUCCUCUGAUGUUAGCGGCGGACGGGUGAGUAACACGUGGAUAACCUACCUAUAAGACUGGGAUAACUUCGGGAAACCGGAGCUAAUACCGGAUAACAUGUUGAACCGCAUGGUUCAACAGUGAAAGACGGUCUUGCUGUCACUUAUAGAUGGAUCCGCGCCGCAUUAGCUAGUUGGUAAGGUAACGGCAUACCAAGGCAACGAUGCGUAGCCGACCUGAGAGGGUGAUCGGCCACACUGGAACUGAGACACGGUCCAGACUCCUACGGGAGGCAGCAGUAGGGAAUCUUCCGCAAUGGGCGAAAGCCUGACGGAGCAACGCCGCGUGAGUGAAGAAGGUCUUCGGAUCGUAAAACUCUGUUAUUAGGGAAGAACAAAUGUGUAAGUAACUAUGCACGUCUUGACGGUACCUAAUCAGAAAGCCACGGCUAACUACGUG
RNAcentral lists this ribosomal RNA (497 nucleotides) under uncultured bacterium. Its description in RNAcentral is "partial 16S ribosomal RNA". It matches the Rfam family "Bacterial small subunit ribosomal RNA", at positions 28 to 507 of the family's 1533-position model. The record is from RNAcentral.